AAAAGGUUUGGUCCUAGCCUUAUUAUCAGUUUUUUCUUGAAUUACACAUGCAAGUCUCAGCACACCCGUGAGGAUACCCUUAUACCCUUAACCAGGCCAAGGAGAUGGCAUCAGGCACAACACCUGCCCACAACGCCUAGUCCCACCACACCCCCAAGGGCACUCAGCAGUGAUAAAUAUUGCUCAUAAGCUAUAGCUUGAAUCAGUUAAAGAAAGUAGAGCCGGCCAACUCGGUGCCAGCCGCCGCGGCUAAACCGCACGGACUCAAAUUGAUAGUUGUCGGCGUUAAGCGUGAUUAAAGUUCCUCUCAAUUAGAAUAAAACCUACCCUUAGCUGUGAAAAGCUUGAUGCUAGAGAAAACCAUAAACGAAAGUUAUUCUAAUAAUUACUUGAAUACACGACAGCUGGA
This 409-nucleotide ribosomal RNA is filed under the name Quasipaa shini (spiny-flanked frog). Its description in RNAcentral is "partial 12S ribosomal RNA". Lineage: Eukaryota; Metazoa; Chordata; Amphibia; Anura; Dicroglossidae. The record is from RNAcentral.